This 644-nucleotide long non-coding RNA is filed under the name Cricetulus griseus (Chinese hamster). Its description in RNAcentral is "lncRNA (ENSCGRG00015016545.2)". The record is from RNAcentral. Lineage: Eukaryota; Metazoa; Chordata; Mammalia; Rodentia; Cricetidae.
CGCCCCGCCCAGGGCCUGGUGGUGGGCUCUGGAGGUGGUUGUGUAUUUCGCCGCCCUCGCCUGGCCUUCCUGCCUUACACCCUCAGGCUCUUCAGGCCGCAACUGUGUAGCACGCUGUGCUCACCUUCCUCCAACAGAGCUGCACCCCUCCUGAGAGCAAACUGAUGGUUUGUAACUCCCCCAUCCUUACUCCUUCUCAACCAUUGCCCUCUCUGGGCAUCUCUCCUUUCUUGAAGCACUUUGAAGGACCCUUCAAUCCCGUGAGCCCUCUGGAGAGUUGGGUAGGAUGUGAGCCAUGCAUGCCCAGGGUACCCAAACCUGGGCCACAGAGCCGAUCUCUCCCCAGUGCUGAGAAGCCAUACAAGGCCAAGUCCGGAAGGGAGCUAGACAGAUACAAGGAAUGAUGGGUGAUGUCAGACAGCCCGGCUGGCACCUCAGCCAAGAUGGGUUGGAGAGAUGGCUCAACACUGACUACUCUUCCAGAGAACCUGGGUUCAAUUCCCAGCACCCACAUGAAAGCUACCAACUGUCUGUAACUCCAAGAUCUGACGCUCUCACACAGGCAUACAUCAAGCUGAUAAGCAGUGUAUGGGAACUGUGUCCUCGAGCCACACUGGACUACACUGGACUCCGCUACUUAGAGC